This 326-nucleotide ribosomal RNA is filed under the name uncultured bacterium. RNAcentral describes it as "bacterial SSU rRNA". It matches the Rfam family "Bacterial small subunit ribosomal RNA", at positions 47 to 369 of the family's 1533-position model. The record is from RNAcentral.
CCUAACACAUGCAAGUCGAACGGUAACAGGAAACAGCUUGCUGUUUCGCUGACGAGUGGUGGACGGGUGAGUAAUGUCUGGGAAACUGCCUGAUGGAGGGGGAUAACUACUGGAAACGGUAGCUAAUACCGCAUAACGUCGCAAGACCAAAGAGGGGGACCCUCGGGCCUCUUGCCAUCGGAUGUGCCCAGAUGGGAUUAGCUUGUUGGUGGGGUAACGGCUCACCAAGGCGACGAUCCCUAGCUGGUCUGAGAGGAUGACCAGCCACACUGGAACUGAGACACGGUCCAGACUCCUACGGGAGGCAGCAGUGGGGAAUAUUGCAC